RNAcentral lists this long non-coding RNA (432 nucleotides) under Athene cunicularia (burrowing owl). Its description in RNAcentral is "lncRNA (ENSACUG00000003226.1)". The record is from RNAcentral. Lineage: Eukaryota; Metazoa; Chordata; Aves; Strigiformes; Strigidae.
GGAGAAGAGCGAGGAGAUCUCAGUGGUGUGCCUGCAGCCACCUGCAACAGCAGCCAGCAGCAUCAAGCACAGAGGAGAGGACAGCAAGGAGAUGUUCAAAGCCAGCAGAUGCUCUGAAAAACACAGCCGUGCAAGCAGCAAUUCUAGCAAUCAUAUUGCUGCUCAGUCAGUGUCUGCUGCCACGGAGUCAUCAGUGUUUGCUGCUAACGAGCUAAGCCACGGUGUUAUUGCACUCUGUACUCACAUCCCCAGACCAUCCAUCAUCCAUGUGCCAAAGGAAGAAGAUGAUGAAGAAGAAGAAGAGGAGUCACAGAAGGAGAUGGAUUUGCCAGUCUUGGAGAAUGAAACCUUACCAGGUAUAAGUGACAUGUGGAGCUUGUAUCCACUCUAGUGCAAAUUAAAACCUGUCUUUUCUAAAUUGGCCUGAGCUGG